UGUAUUGUAUUGAGUAUAUUUUAUGGUCGCGGUAUGGCAACACUGGAUUGUGAUGCAAUGUGAAUAUGUUCGAUUGAUAGUACGGUUACUUUAAGGGAAUCGAAAGCGACGUUAGCUUUAAAGUAAACUAAUUCAAGGCACUUGGUUUGUGUAUGCCAGUUUGGAUGGGAAAUAUCACUGUAUGAUGCUGCUUUGGUUGGCUUUGCAGAAUACUCGAGUAAGCGGGAUAUAGCAAUUCACAAAUUAUCUUUUUUGUAAAAUUAAUCUGAAUAUAGUUUUAGAUGGAAUUUGUUGUUUUCCACGCUUAAGAAGCCACUUGUUUUAGCUGGCUAUUUCUAUUUGGAUAUUUUUCUCCAUGCAAAUUUUAGUAAUUUCCUGUCAAGGGGAAACAAAUAUUGAUUACACUUUGUCAAGCUAUUUAUAGCUCGUGUUUAAUAUCGAUAUUUUGACAUUUCAAUUCCAAGGUCAGAAUUGGAAUAGUGAUAUUCGUUACGCGCUUAUCUUGACUACUUCAUAAAUGAAAAUGAAUUCUUCUGAAUUAUGUGGAAAGAGUUCUUAGUUCAGUAUAUGACCACAUUGCAACAAAAAAAAAAAAAAAAAUUACAAAUGUCAUUGGACGUGGACCGCCCAUAAUUUAAAAUUUUAACCUUUGGUAGCAAAUAUUGAUUAUUUUGCUUGUAUGCGAGGAUUGAAUUCAUUUUGCGUUCAUUUCUCGAAACACUUGGUAUUUAGAAUGCUUAUAUUUUAACUUGAAAUAGUUAUAUAAUUAGCAUUGAUAUAUUUCGAUGAAAGCUUGUUACUUUUAUUCGUUUAUUCUGCAAUUGAGUCAUGUAAUAUUCUUAAAAUUAAAACAAGGUGUAUUAUUGUGAAUGAGUGAUUGUGCCCGAAAUUGUAUUUUAAGAUGUAACGCUUCUAUCUUUGAUAAGUCUUAAAUUAGCUUCAGGCUAUUGAUAUUGUAAAUAUUGUUUGUUGAUAAAAGUAUUGGAAUUUGUACCAAUAUGUGUCUUUUUUUCCCCCCAACACUAUGUUACCUGGAUGAAAAUGGGGCUGAGUUGCUGGCAAGACGAAGUCAGCUUCUUUGGCAAAAAAAUAACUAGAAGAAUUAUAGGAAGGCUAUUCUGUGACAGGGUAGACAAAAAGUCAUCAGAUAUUGGGGAGCUGUUAAAUCUUGUUCAACCAAGCUACACAUAACGAUGAUAAUUGCCUGGGCCAUGAUUUUUGGUUAAGGUCUGCUGUCCAAUAUUUGAAGCUUACAAGGCAAUUUGCAUACUUGUCCAAGACACUUGGGACAACUGCAGUGGCAGGAAUGUUGUGUUGGAUGAGUGCUUCAUGAAACAUGGCUUUUGAAUAUUCGAAGAAAAGGGUUUCUGUAAAUUUUAACAAGUUUCACAUUUUCUAAAUGAAAUAAGUUGUAAUUUAUUGAGCAUCAUAACCAAAUCUGGAACUGGAAAUAGACAAGGCAAACAUGAAUUUACAUUCACAAAAAGACAAUCCCACAUAAGAUACUAAACUGAAAAAGUGACAAGCUAUUUUAACUGCAUACAACAAAACAGCUCUGGAUGACAUACAACACUAAUGCUUUGGAAUAUACAAAUGUGCUGACAAAUUAGGGUGAAAUCUUGAGCUUCAUGGUUACAUGAAUAGGAAACAAAUAGGUUCUUAUGAAACAUCACAUUUUUAAAUAGUGAACCAGAAUUUUUAAAUGUUCUCCAGAAUGAAGUCCCAUUUGAAAUGAGUUGUUAUUGCUGCAAUACUGAUAGAAUUUUGAAAUGGAUGACAGAAGAAAGUUCUACAGUAUGAUGUACUAUAUAUUAUCCUGAAACACUCCUACAAAUUCUUCAGGUAUGAUAGGUUAAUUCACGGGUUGGAGAGAUUGCUUUUUUUAUUUUGUUUCAGAUUUUUCAUUGUAUUGCAAUGACUAAAUUUACAAAAGAAAAUAGGAUGAAAAUGUAAUAAGAUAAAUUUAUCACAGCAUUGCAUGGCUGCAAAAUUAAUUUUGGUUUUAAUCAUAACUAAAAACAAGUGUUAAAUUUUGUUUCCAAAUGUAAAUGUAGUGUUAAGGCAAAUGAUGCUAGUGGAGAUUCAGUUUGUUUAAUCAAUAGAACUUGAAUUUAGAGGUUCCAUUGCCUAUUUAAAUUAUAAUUACAAGUAAUAUGGAAGAUAAUUUUAAAUUCUUUGACAAAUUCUUUGUUCGUAGGGAGGGGGUGAAAAGUUCUAUAUUGUUGCUUGGUGGUUUCCACCCAGCAUAUUUUUUUCCAUUUGCAGAUACUGUUAUUAUUGAUGAAAUGACUAUUCUGUAAUUGACGGCAAUUUUCAUCAGCCCUUAAAAUAUUUGGAUAGGAUGAGGUAAUAUUUGUGCAAGCAUCUCUGUUAGAAUGCAGAGAAAGCAGUCUCCCACUCAUUGUGAUUUGGGAAGGGAAGAACAAAAUGUCUUCAGGUAUGUGAGAGCACUUGGCAUUAAUUGUUGUAAAGGAGAAAAUAGGAAAGAAAUUGCAAUGUUGCACUGACAAGUUGCAGCACCAGACUUUUCCUUCACUUGCAGGUAUUUGGUAUUUUCUUUUAAAAGGUGAUGACAACACUAAUAAUGAAUAUACAUACAUCAUUGAUAGUUUGCAGCAGGUUAGGAGCAAAUGUAUCAAAGGAUAUGAAUGCAAGGUAAAAAGAAAAUUUUUUAUAUAUAUAUAUUUACAAGAUCAAGUCAUCUCUAACAGUUAUUGACAAUAACAGAAAAUGCAUCAUUUAUGAUCAUAACUACAUUGGAAAAAAAUGUAAACAAUCUAUAGUAGACAAACAAACUCCUACAGAAUUAAAAAAUUUUUUUUUAUGGUUUUGUGCAGUGCAAUAUCUUUAUAAUCAGAAGCAUGGCUUUUGCAAUUUCAAAUACAUUGUCCAAUGGGUGGCAUCGUUGGAAUUUUGUAUUAAGUGGAGACUUGUGAAUUAGAGGGUUUGAUAUAAGUAUAAGAUCAACUCGGUAUAUGAACAUGUGGAAUAUGGUUCUUUUAUUUUCAGGUACAUAAACACAUCUAUACAUGACACAGCAGAUCUAACAUGGUGUUAACUGAAAUUCAGUUGAAUUUUCAUGAUUCACUACAGUUGGCUGACACGAUAGACCAAAAAGAAAGUUUACCUUUUCCUGUUUCGCAGUAACAUCUAUACAGAAAUUUGCAUAAUUUUCAUGAUUCACUACAGUUGGCUGACACGAUAGACCAAAAAGAAAGUUUACCUUUUCCUGUUUCGCAGUAACAUCUAUACAGAAAUUUGCAUAAUUGGGUCUUUGUUAUAUCUUUGUAAAACAAUGUCACCACAUUAGAGAAAACUGGAGCAUAUUCUAAGAGGAAUGGACAGCUUAAGAUGUACAAAAGAAUCUUUAAAAGCCUGAUGAUAGAGGGCUAUGAUUAAUACACGUGAAAUUAACAUUUAAAAUCUGUGAUUAAUGGUUGGUAUCACUACUAUGCUUCACUUGUAGCUUCCUAAUCUAACAAUUACUAUUAGGUGUGAUCAACUAAUACCUUCAAGCAACAGGUGGAGGUGUAAUCUUUCAUUUUCAGGUAUAUGGAGUGGCAAAUUCAUUUUCACAAUUUAAAACGAGAUUUUUGUAAGCCAUGUGAUUGAAUCAUGAACUACAUUUUUUUAAAACUUUAGAUUAUCUAAGGAAACUACAUUGGUGGAUAGGAACUUCUCUGUUAAUGAAUACCUAUUACAAAAAUUAUAGCAUAACUUGCCAAAUAAAGGAGUGGGUGUAUCAAUAUCUGCAUUAUGAUGCACCUGCCCUGAGAUAAGUUGUGACUGAUUAAUGGUGACAAGAGGUGGAAAGUGGAGGUUUAUUUUGGUUCAUUUUCAGGUUUCUUGCUGAUCACUCACAGAUACAAGAAUAAGACUGGUGAAAACUAAUAGAGCAUCUAAUGGUAGCUGAUAAAGGUCUGACUGACGUUUAAUACCAAUUAUAUGAUGGACUGCCCUGAAGGUAUCUCCAGUUAUGGCUUAAGUUUCCUUUACAGGUUCUUGUUUGACUCUCUUGAAAAUCAGUUGGUAAUGUUAACAGUAUUUACACAUCACAAAAUGAAUUGUACAUGAAGUUGCUUCAAGCAUUUGACUCGGCUUGUAUUUGCUGAUUUAUCACAUAGAAAGAAUAGCUACUUUUUUCCUCAGGUUUUCUUUUAGAUAUUUUGUGGUGUGGGAAUUUGUUUGGCACCAGGUAUUUACUGUAUGGUUCAGAAACGAUGAUUGUCAAUGUAUACAUCAGGGGAGGAGAUGAAACUGCAUCUACUGAUUGUGAAUAUGAGGUGGGAUCUAUGAGAACUGGGGGACAAAGAAUGAAAACUAGUGACAGGUGGAAUGUUGAGAGGCUGGUGAAAAAUGACAUCAUCCACUGAAGACUAACAGUUCUUAUGGGAUAUGUCUAAUUUCUUUCCAAUGUAAUGGAUCUGCCCUGAAGUAUCUAAAGUGACUGGAGGCUCUUGAACAUUCCUGGUUUGGAAAAAAGGUGAGUUUUUUCUUUCUGUUUUUCUUGUUUCUUCCAGAUGUCCCAUGAUGGUGUAGAAACUUGUGCAUCUAGUCAGCUGUUUCUCUACUGCAUUAUGUAGUGACAUUGAUUGUUGGCUGUGAGUGGGGAAAUGAAUUCACCAUAUGAUAAUGUGGUGGAAUCCCCUUGAGGAUAACUGGAUAUACAAUGGAAGCUGGUACUGCCUAAUGAGUCCGACUGGUGGCAAUUGUGGUGGAACUUCAAAUUGGUGGCUACUGUGAUGGAACAUCUUCACACUGGUGACGACCGUCAUGGAACAUCUUCACACUGGUGACGACUGCGAGGGAACAUCUUCACACUGGUGACGACUGCGAGGGAACAUCUUCACGCUGGUGACGACUGUCAUGGAACAUCUUCACGCUGGUGACGACUGUCAUGGAACAUCUUCACACUGGUGACGACUGCGAGGGAACAUCUUCACGCUGGUGACGACUGUCAUGGAACAUCUUCACACUGGUAACGACUGC
RNAcentral lists this long non-coding RNA (4989 nucleotides) under Octopus sinensis (East Asian common octopus). RNAcentral's name for it is "uncharacterized LOC115221324". The record is from RNAcentral. Lineage: Eukaryota; Metazoa; Mollusca; Cephalopoda; Octopoda; Octopodidae.